GUUCCUGUAGAGAAAUGCAAAAGGAGUUGGACUUCUAAUCCAAAGGUAGUGGGUUCGAAUCCCACCUGGAAUG
Molecule: non-coding RNA, 73 nt
Organism: Trichonephila clavata
Lineage: Eukaryota; Metazoa; Arthropoda; Arachnida; Araneae; Nephilidae
Source: the annotation of a GenBank genome assembly